This 497-nucleotide ribosomal RNA is filed under the name uncultured bacterium. RNAcentral describes it as "partial 16S ribosomal RNA". It matches the Rfam family "Bacterial small subunit ribosomal RNA", at positions 28 to 507 of the family's 1533-position model. The record is from RNAcentral.
GAUGAACGCUGGCGGCGUGCCUAAUACAUGCAAGUCGAGCGAACAGAUAAGGAGCUUGUUCCUUUGACGUUAGCGGCGGACGGGUGAGUAACACGUGGGUAACCUACCUAUAAGACUGGGAUAACUUCGGGAAACCGGAGCUAAUACCGGAUAACAUUUGGAACCGCAUGGUUCUAAAGUGAAAGAUGGUUUUGCUAUCACUUAUAGAUGGACCCGCGCCGUAUUAGCUAGUUGGUAAGGUAACGGCUUACCAAGGCGACGAUACGUAGCCGACCUGAGAGGGUGAUCGGCCACACUGGAACUGAGACACGGUCCAGACUCCUACGGGAGGCAGCAGUAGGAAAUCUUCCGCAAUGGGCGAAAGCCUGACGGAGCAACGCCGCGUGAGUGAUGAAGGGUUUCGGCUCGUAAAACUCUGUUAUUAGGGAAGAACAAAUGUGUAAGUAACUGUGCACGUCUUGACGGUACCUAAUCAGAAAGCCACGGCUAACUACGUG